RNAcentral lists this ribosomal RNA (465 nucleotides) under uncultured bacterium. RNAcentral describes it as "partial 16S ribosomal RNA". It matches the Rfam family "Bacterial small subunit ribosomal RNA", at positions 29 to 507 of the family's 1533-position model. The record is from RNAcentral.
AUGAACGCUGGCGGCGUGCUUAACACCUGCAAGUCGCACGAUGAAGCCCAGCUUGCUGGGUGGAUUAGUGGCGAACGGGUGAGUAACACGUGAGUAACCUGCCCUUAACUCUGGGAUAAGCCUGGGAAACUGGGUCUAAUACCGGAUAGGAGCGCCUACCGCAUGGUGGGUGUUGGAAAGAUUUAUCGGUUUUGGAUGGACUCGCGGCCUAUCAGCUUGUUGGUGAGGUAAUGGCUCACCAAGGCGACGACGGGUAGCCGGCCUGAGAGGGUGACCGGCCACACUGGGACUGAGACACGGCCCAGACUCCUACGGGAGGCAGCAGUGGGGAAUAUUGCACAAUGGGCGAAAGCCUGAUGCAGCGACGCCGCGUGAGGGAUGACGGCCUUCGGGUUGUAAACCUCUUUCAGUAGGGAAGAAGCGAAAGUGACGGUACCUGCAGAAGAAGCACCGGCUAACUACGUG